This 472-nucleotide long non-coding RNA is filed under the name Carica papaya (papaya). Its description in RNAcentral is "long non-coding RNA (CPAP_LNC011105)". Lineage: Eukaryota; Viridiplantae; Streptophyta; Magnoliopsida; Brassicales; Caricaceae. The record is from RNAcentral.
UGGUGACAAUUAAAGAAUUUAAUUAAAAAAGAUUAGUGGCUGUUAAUGAAAUUUUUAGUGCGAGGAGAUGAAAGUUGGCAGGAGGCCAGCUAUUAUUAUAUUGUUUACUGUAAAAAGUGAAUAAAGAAGAGAAUCCCAUCAAAGGCAAUAUAAAAGCAUGGAUGAACCUCCGCCAUUACUGAUUAUUGAAGAAGCUCAAGGUUGCCCAGAAAGCGAACCACUGCAACAGCCUCGAAGCUAGUUCAAACUAGUGGGGGGUUGUCUGCAAAAAGAAGAAGAAGAAGAAGAAGGUCAUUAUUAUUUAGUCAAGAAAAUCAACGGCUGAGAAUCAAUCAAUCAUAUUAAUUAGGGAUCAUCAUCAUCAUGGCUCGUGGAAAGAUUCAGAUUAAGAAAAUCGAGAACCCGGUCCACCGCCAGGUAACUUUCUGCAAACGACGUGCAGGGCUGCUGAAGAAGGCAAAGGAGCUCUCGG